GAUGAACGCUAGCGAUAGGCUUAACACAUGCAAGUCGAGGGGCAGCACAAGGUAGCUUGCUAUCUGGGUGGCGACCGGCGCACGGGUGCGUAACGCGUAUGCAACUUGCCCUAUACAGGAGGAUAACCCGUCGAAAGACGGACUAAUACUGCGUAUGCUCACAACUUGGCAUCAAGUGGUGAGGAAAGAAAUUCGGUAUAGGAUAGGCAUGCGUCCCAUUAGCUUGUUGGUGAGGUAACGGCUCACCAAGGCAACGAUGGGUAGGGGAACUGAGAGGUUUAUCCCCCACACUGGUACUGAGACACGGACCAGACUCCUACGGGAGGCAGCAGUGAGGAAUAUUGGGCAAUGGGCGCGAGCCUGAACCAGCCAAGUCGCGUGAAGGAUGACUGUCUUAUGGAUUGUAAACUUCUUUUAGACGGGAAUAACAAGAGUCACGUGUGACUCCCUGCAUGUACCGUAUGAAUAAGCAUCGGCUAACUCCGUG
This 487-nucleotide ribosomal RNA is filed under the name uncultured bacterium. Its description in RNAcentral is "partial 16S ribosomal RNA". It matches the Rfam family "Bacterial small subunit ribosomal RNA", at positions 28 to 507 of the family's 1533-position model. The record is from RNAcentral.